AUAGCGUACGUUAAAGUUGCUGCAGUUAAAAAGCUCGUAGUUGAACGUUCGGGUUCCGCGGGACGGGGCCGCCCCGCGAGGGACGGCGCCGCCCCGGGGCUCGUGAUAUCUUAUCUCGCCGCCCGUCGCGAGGCGGACGGAGGGAUGGAUGAGGUUACCUGGAAAAAAUCGGGGCGAUCUAGGCGGGCGAACCUCGCCAACGAACGAUCGGACAUGGGAUAACGGAAGAGGGCGUCGGCUCGACUUCGUCGGUUCCUCGGGCCGAGGCACGUACGGUGAAUAGGGACGGUCGGGGCCGCCCGUACCGGGUCGUGAGAGGUGAAAUUCUAGGAUCGACCCGAGACGAACUGCCGCGAAAGCAUUCGGCAAGGACGCUUUCAUUAAUCAAGAACGAAAGUCGGGGGAUCGAAGACGAUCAGAUACCGUCGUAGUCCCGACCGUAAACGAUGCCGACCGAGGGCCCGGAGGAGUUACGUACGACCCUCCGGGCCCUCCCGCGAGAAAUCAGGAGUAUUCGGGUUCCGGGG
This 527-nucleotide ribosomal RNA is filed under the name uncultured eukaryote. RNAcentral describes it as "bacterial SSU rRNA". It matches the Rfam family "Eukaryotic small subunit ribosomal RNA", at positions 594 to 1119 of the family's 1831-position model. The record is from RNAcentral.